This 841-nucleotide ribosomal RNA is filed under the name uncultured marine bacterium. Its description in RNAcentral is "bacterial SSU rRNA". It matches the Rfam family "Bacterial small subunit ribosomal RNA", at positions 61 to 950 of the family's 1533-position model. The record is from RNAcentral.
GUCGAACGCAGUAGCAAUACUGAGUGGCAAACGGGUGAGUAUAAUGUGGGAAUCUGCCUUUUGGUUUGGAACAACACGGGGAAACUUGUGCUAAUACCGAAUAAGCCCUUACGGGGAAAGUUUUAAUGCCGAAAGAUGAGCCCGCACUUGAUUAGCUAGUUGGUAAGGUAAAGGCUUACCAAGGCUACGAUCAAUAGCUGUUCUUAGAGGAAGACCAGCCACAUUGGGACUGAGACACGGCCCAGACUCCUACGGGAGGCAGCAGUGGGGAAUCUUGCACAAUGGGGGAAACCCUGAUGCAGCGAUGCCGCGUGAGUGAAGAAGGCCUUUGGGUUGUAAAACUCUUUCGUCGGGGAAGAAAAUGACUGUACCCGAAUAAGAAGGUCCGGCUAACUUCGUGCCAGCAGCCGCGGUAAUACGAAGGGACCUAGCGUAGUUCGGAAUUACUGGGCUUAAAGAGCUCGUAGGUGGUUAAAAAAGUUGAUGGUGAAAUCCCAAGGCUUAACCUUGGAACUGCCAUCAAAACUUUUUAGCUAGAGUGUGAUAGAGGUAAGUGGAAUUUCUAGUGUAGAGGUGAAAUUCGUAGAUAUUAGAAAGAACACCAAAUGCGAAGGCAACUUACUGGGUCACUACUGACACUGAGGAGCGAAAGCAUGGGUAGCGAAGAGGAUUAGAUACCCUCGUAGUCCAUGCCGUANACGAUGUGUGCUAGACGUUGGAAAUAUAUUUUUCAGUGUCGCAGCGAAAGCAUUAAGCACACCGCCUGGGGAGUACGACCGCAAGGUUAAAACUCAAAUGAAUUGACGGGGACCCGCACAAGCAGUGGAGCAUGUGGUUUAAC